UCUUUUACAAAGCUAUAAGAUAUUUAAGUACCCGUUUUGUAAUUUUCCACUUAAACUGAUAUGUUUGAUGAACUUGGCAGUCUAACUGCAUUGGUUAAAAGGAUGCACAUUUAUAUUUCUAAAUGAAAUGGAAUACUGAAUUUAAAAGGUGAUGUUUUCUCUAUUAAGUAUGAAAAUAGAUACAAAUCUGGCCAGGCGCGGUGCUCACGCCUGUAGUCCCAGCGCUUUGGGAGGCCAAGGCGGGUGGAUCACAAGGUCAGGAGAUCGAGACCAUCCUGGCUAACAUGGUGAAACCCCAUCUCUACUAAAAAUACAAAAAAUUAGCCGGGCAUGGUGGCGGGCACCUAUAGUCCCAGCUACUCAGGAGGCUGAGGCAGGAGGAUGGCGUGAACCUGGGAGGCGGAGCUUGCAGUGAGCCAAGAUCGCGCCACUGCACUCCAGCCUGGGCGACAGAGCGAGACUGUCUGGGAAAAAAAAAAAAAAAGAUACAAAUCAAAGUACUGAAUCCUUGGUAACGAGACAUUUAAAACACAUGCACAUACCCACUACUUAAACAUACUUUGAAAUUACAACCAUUUGGGGAUGUUUUUAGCAUUUGUGCUUGAAGUAGAUCAAUAUUUGUAGUUGUUUUAGUUCCAUUUGUCACUGUUAACUUUCAUUUGUACCUCUGGAAUUAGCAGUGCUGUAUUCAGCAUUGGCACUUAAAAUAUUUUAUAGCUCUUAGAACACUAUUUUUUAAAUUACAUUGAUCUUUAUACUCUCCUAGGAUUCCAGUCCUUCCACAAAUUAUUAUAUGCAGUUUUCUUUAUACUGUUCCAUUCUUCAGACAGAGUUCAGGUUGUAGGAUCAUCUGAAUUUUCUUAGUGAAAUACAAGCCAGUAGAAACCAAAGCUCGUGUUUUUCUACUGUAUGACUAUGGGAGCUCUCAGUAUAGAGAAACUUGAUCAUACCUGUGAUAGAUAUAAAGAUGUAAAUUAAAGUCUAGUUAGUGAGUUAUUUGAGGGUAAAGCCAGAAUAGGAAAACAUUUUGUUUCUCUUUUCCUGGGCUUCACAAUCUUUGGAGAAUAACUAAUUUUAUUUUAACUCUAGUGUUAGAGGCAUGUAUGUCUUCUGGUAAUCAGUAAUAGUAAUUCAUUUUACCUGUUUGUUUCUCACUGUUUUAUUCUACUUAGAAGAAGACAUGAUAGGAUUGUGAGUUUUUCUCUAACUUUGGAUGCAGUGAGAUGACCAGUGUGUUCCAGUUAAAGAAGAAGAGUGUUUUAAAAUCAUAAACCAAAUAAAGAAUCCUACCU
This 1292-nucleotide long non-coding RNA is filed under the name Homo sapiens (human). RNAcentral describes it as "HSALNT0408999". The record is from RNAcentral. Lineage: Eukaryota; Metazoa; Chordata; Mammalia; Primates; Hominidae.